Molecule: long non-coding RNA, 1578 nt
Organism: Bactrocera oleae (olive fruit fly)
Lineage: Eukaryota; Metazoa; Arthropoda; Insecta; Diptera; Tephritidae
Source: RefSeq, a predicted model, not a curated record
GUUUAUUUUGAUGGCAAUUCAUAGCUUUUUAAUUUAGGUUUGAUGCGUAACCGUUUCGAUAUUGCUCUUCAUAAGCAAACACCGAAAAUACACUGUUUUCUGACAGCAGAUUUCCUAAUUUACAUUUAUUUAUUUUUCAAUAUUGACAAAUAGUCCUAUUAAAUUGCUAAAACAAUUUCGCUCAAUUGUACUUUUUUACUUCAUUCACACAAAUCAUUGCUUGCUUUCUGCCUUGCUUCGUGUAAUUUGCAACUUUUUGUCGGCAGACAAAUUUCCAUAAUUGCUGGCGAUGACGCCGCCACAGACAACAGUGACUCAAGUAGAGUGCCACAAUCAGCAACAAUAAAGUAUACAGAAAUAAAAACAACAAAUAAAUAAAAACAAUGUCAAGCAAAACAAAUUUACAAAUUCAACAACAAAAUGAACAAAUAGCGAAAGGCAGCAAAGUGGAAAAUGUGGCGUGGGGCUAGGGAUAAGACGAACUUGGUGGGAACAGAACGAAUGGCAUAGAAACUGGGUCAAAUGUAAUAAACAAACUCAUGUGCAUCCGCACAAACCUACACAAGCAAAUACUAAUAAAACUAUUACGCUCUGUGUUGGUUGCCAAUGUAACAAACGGGGAGGGGUGAGGGAAAUGGUGGAUGAGAACGGCUAGCAUAACACAUGCAAGCACUUAUGUGACACACAUAUUCGUAUGACGCUCCUCAUUCCUGUGGACAUACAUUCCUGGCGGCCGUAGUUGCGGCAACUUGCUCAUCUAUGUUACACCGUCUCUCAGCAAACACUUAGCAUUCUAAAUGGCUAAGCAACAAAGACAAGUGCUCAGCAAAUAGUGUCAACGUGAGCGCUCGAAAGCGGGGAGCUGGAUUGUGUGUAUGAGUAACAUGAAAUUACUACAAGAAUAAAAAUACGGCUAAACAAUAGUUACAACAAUGAGCGCGUCAAUGGCCGCCGCUUGCGUCGGUAGUAAAAUAACAAUGACUGCGACAAUAUGGCGUCGAAUGUGUGUUAGUGAGUGCCGUUAUAUUAUCCGUGCUAGGCACCGGGAGUCACGCAUUACACACAUACAGUCAUGGGUAUGUGCUGAGUGUGUGAAUAGUUGCUUUAGUUCAGAUGAACUAUAUAAAUAUGCAUGCAAACGAACAUAUUUUUGCUUUGCCAAUAAUAGAAAUUGUCUUAGAAAAAGCGGCACAAUAUAACCUUGAACACAACAUAUCAUAUUUCGUGAAUUUCGUGGUGCCACAGCAACUAUUUGGCAGUGAAUAGAAGAAAAAGCCGAAGGUCAAAAGCGAAAGACAGUGAAAUUUGUUCGAAAGAAGUAAGGAGAUUUAUAUAUACCGAAACCGGCUUGGGGUUAUAUACAAUAAAACACCGUUCACGCGGUAGUUUUACUUUUAAUUAUUUGAGGAAUUUUAAGUAUAUUAAACUGCUGUAAUGAUUCUAAAAUCGAUCCAGGAAAAAGUCAAAAUUAUGUCCCGCAGUCAAUGAAAAUGAUUACAUCUCACUCAAACUUUUGGCGGAAUCUCAUUAGUAAAUUGUGUCUAUUUAAGACCCUCCAAGCUUCGGAAUUUAACAAAA